RNAcentral lists this ribosomal RNA (497 nucleotides) under uncultured bacterium. Its description in RNAcentral is "partial 16S ribosomal RNA". It matches the Rfam family "Bacterial small subunit ribosomal RNA", at positions 28 to 507 of the family's 1533-position model. The record is from RNAcentral.
GACGAACGCUGGCGGCGUGCCUAAUACAUGCAAGUAGAACGCUGAAGCGAGGAGCUUGCUCUUCUUGGAUGAGUUGCGAACGGGUGAGUAACGCGUAGGUAACCUGCCUUGUAGCGGGGGAUAACUAUUGGAAACGAUAGCUAAUACCGCAUAACAAUGGAUGACACAUGUCAUUUAUUUGAAAGGGGCAAUUGCUCCACUACAAGAUGGACCUGCGUUGUAUUAGCUAGUAGGUGAGGUAAUGGCUCACCUAGGCGACGAUACAUAGCCGACCUGAGAGGGUGAUCGGCCACACUGGGACUGAGACACGGCCCAGACUCCUACGGGAGGCAGCAGUAGGGAAUCUUCGGCAAUGGGGGCAACCCUGACCGAGCAACGCCGCGUGAGUGAAGAAGGGUUUCGGAUCGUAAAGUUCUGUUGUAAGUCAAGAACGGGUGUGAGAGUGGAAAGUUCACACUGUGACGGUAGCUUAACAGAAAGGGACGGCUAACUACGUG